AUAUACAUACAUACACUUCAUAAUAUACUUCAUCAUAAUAUUUGGUUUAUUUCCUAAUUUGAUUACAGUGUUCGAUGACCAGAGUUGUUGUGCAAUGUGUGCGGCCUACAAGCCCCCAGUUUCGUGGACCUCAAAUGACAGACUGGAUCCAGUGUAACAGUUGUGACAAAUGGUUCCAUGCCCUGUGCCUAGACAUCAAGAGCAAACAAUAUGAAAAGGCAAAGAGAGGCAGCUGGAAAUGUCUGUUGUGCACCUAAUGAAAAAAUCUUUCUACCCUGUUCAAUGUAGUUCAAAAGAGAGAAUUUAAAAUUAUAUGUAGAAAAUAAAACUGUACUUCGUUUCAAUAGCA
This is a long non-coding RNA of Archocentrus centrarchus (flier cichlid), 349 nucleotides long. RefSeq lists it as uncharacterized. The record is from RefSeq and is a predicted model, not a curated record. NCBI's taxonomy places the organism in Eukaryota, Metazoa, Chordata, Actinopteri, Cichliformes, Cichlidae. The transcript is spliced from 2 exons.